UACGUAGGGUGCAAGCGUUAAUCGGAAUUACUGGGCGUAAAGCGUGCGCAGGCGGUGAUGUAAGACAGUUGUGAAAUCCCCGGGCUCAACCUGGGAACUGCAUCUGUGACUGCAUUGCUGGAGUGCGGCAGAGGGGGAUGGAAUUCCGCGUGUAGCAGUGAAAUGCGUAGAUAUGCGGAGGAACACCGAUGGCGAAGGCAAUCCCCUGGGCCUGCACCGACGCUCAUGCACGAAAGCGUGGGGAGCAAACAGG
RNAcentral lists this ribosomal RNA (253 nucleotides) under uncultured bacterium. RNAcentral's name for it is "partial 16S ribosomal RNA". It matches the Rfam family "Bacterial small subunit ribosomal RNA", at positions 524 to 776 of the family's 1533-position model. The record is from RNAcentral.